GGGCGUUUAGCUCAGUUGGCUAGAGCGCUUCCUUCACACGGAAGAGGUCACUGGUUCGAGUCCAGUAACGCCCA
RNAcentral lists this transfer RNA (74 nucleotides) under Phycisphaerae bacterium RAS1. It matches the Rfam family "tRNA". Rfam says of the family: Transfer RNA (tRNA) molecules are approximately 80 nucleotides in length. Their secondary structure includes four short double-helical elements and three loops (D, anti-codon, and T loops). The record is from Rfam by way of RNAcentral. Lineage: Bacteria; Pseudomonadati; Planctomycetota; Phycisphaerae.